AAUGAACGUUGGCGGCGUGGAUUAGGCAUGCAAGUCGAGCGAGAACCCGCAAGGGGGACAGCGGCAAACGGGGUAGGAAUGAUUGGUGACGUACCCUCGGGACGGGGAUAGCCACGGGAAACUGUGGGUAAUACCCGAUAAUCUCCCAGGUUUGAAGACCUGGGUGCAAAGGUGUGAUUCCACCGGAGGAGCGGCCAAUCUGGUAUUAGCUAGUUGGUAGGGUAACGGCCUACCAAGGCUACGAUGCCUAGGGGGUGUGAGAGCAUGGCCCCCACCACUGGGACUGAGAUCCUGCCCAGACACCGACGGGUGGCGGCAGUCGAGAAUCUUCGGCAAUGGGCGAAAGCCUGACCGAGCGACGCCGCGUGCGGGAUGAAGGCCUUCGGGUUGUAAACCGCUGUCAGAGGGGAUGAAGUUAUAGGAGGUUCUCCUUCUAUAUUGACAGAGCCUCAGAGGAAGCACGGGCUAAGUAUGUGCCAGCAGCCGCCGUAA
This 492-nucleotide ribosomal RNA is filed under the name uncultured bacterium. RNAcentral describes it as "partial 16S ribosomal RNA". It matches the Rfam family "Bacterial small subunit ribosomal RNA", at positions 29 to 523 of the family's 1533-position model. The record is from RNAcentral.